This 55-nucleotide transfer RNA is filed under the name Corythalia opima. RNAcentral describes it as "tRNA-Trp". The record is from RNAcentral. Lineage: Eukaryota; Metazoa; Arthropoda; Arachnida; Araneae; Salticidae.
UAAGAUAUAAGGAUAAGGGUUCUAUUAGCCUUCAAAGUUAAAGGAGGUAUCUAAU